RNAcentral lists this ribosomal RNA (465 nucleotides) under Vreelandella stevensii. RNAcentral's name for it is "partial 16S ribosomal RNA". It matches the Rfam family "Bacterial small subunit ribosomal RNA", at positions 338 to 795 of the family's 1533-position model. The record is from RNAcentral. Lineage: Bacteria; Pseudomonadati; Pseudomonadota; Gammaproteobacteria; Oceanospirillales; Halomonadaceae.
CCUACGGGAGGCAGCAGUGGGGAAUAUUGGACAAUGGGCGAAAGCCUGAUCCAGCCAUACCGCGUGUGUGAAGAAGGCCUUCGGGUUGUAAAGCACUUUCAGUGGGGAAGAAAGCCUUGGGGCUAAUACCCUCGAGGAAGGACAUCACCCACAGAAGAAGCACCGGCUAACUCCGUGCCAGCAGCCGCGGUAAUACGGAGGGUGCGAGCGUUAAUCGGAAUUACUGGGCGUAAAGCGCGCGUAGGCGGUCUGAUAAGCCGGUUGUGAAAGCCCCGGGCUCAACCUGGGAACGGCAUCCGGAACUGUCAGGCUAGAGUGCAGGAGAGGAAGGUAGAAUUCCCGGUGUAGCGGUGAAAUGCGUAGAGAUCGGGAGGAAUACCAGUGGCGAAGGCGGCCUUCUGGACUGACACUGACGCUGAGGUGCGAAAGCGUGGGUAGCAAACAGGAUUAGAUACCCUAGUAGUC